AGUACAAAAACUUUUAAUUGCAACGGAUCUCGUUCUGGCAUCGAUGAAGAACGCAGCGAAAUGCGAUAAGUAAUGUGAAUUGCAGAAUUCAGUGAAUCAUCGAAUCUUUGAACGCACCAGCCAUUGCGCCCGAUUCUGGCGGGCAUGCCUGUUCGAGCGUCAUUU
This 165-nucleotide ribosomal RNA is filed under the name Colletotrichum gloeosporioides. RNAcentral's name for it is "5.8S ribosomal RNA". It matches the Rfam family "5.8S ribosomal RNA". Rfam says of the family: 5.8S ribosomal RNA (5.8S rRNA) is a component of the large subunit of the eukaryotic ribosome. It is transcribed by RNA polymerase I as part of the 45S precursor that also contains 18S and 28S rRNA. The record is from RNAcentral. Lineage: Eukaryota; Fungi; Ascomycota; Sordariomycetes; Glomerellales; Glomerellaceae.